AACGCAAAUUGCACCCUUUGGUAUUCCGAAGGGUAUGCCUGUUUGAGUGUCAUAUAGACCUUCACCUGUCCUUUUUCUUGUAAUGAGAAACUGUGGCUCGGUGCUUUGGACGUAUUUGCCAUUAACCCUGGCUCGUCUUAAAUAUCUUAGUGGGAAACAACUUUUGUAAUCAAGGGUAUGAUAAGUCAUUUGCCUCACGAUUUCAAUAAUUCAUUUUCCACUCUAAUCUCUCUAUAUUAAGCUCUGACCUCAAAUCAGGUAGGACUACCCGCUGAACUUAA
This 281-nucleotide unclassified non-coding RNA is filed under the name uncultured fungus. Its description in RNAcentral is "partial contains 5.8S ribosomal RNA, internal transcribed spacer 2, and large subunit ribosomal RNA". The stretch from base 1 to 52 matches the Rfam family "5.8S ribosomal RNA", at positions 103 to 154 of the family's 154-position model. Lineage: Eukaryota; Fungi. RNAcentral also lists the same sequence under 1 other name. The record is from RNAcentral.